Molecule: small nucleolar RNA, 143 nt
Organism: Mastomys coucha (southern multimammate mouse)
Lineage: Eukaryota; Metazoa; Chordata; Mammalia; Rodentia; Muridae
Product: small nucleolar RNA SNORA48
Exons: 1
Source: RefSeq, a predicted model, not a curated record
GAACCCUGAGAAUGGGCAAAGAGAUACCUGUUGGUGAUAUUGUUCUUACAUCAGUCAGGGGCAGAGCAGAUGGCAGUCCUUUGUUUAUCCUAACUUGAUGCCAGGCUUAGUGGCCAAAGUUGUUUUAUGCCUAGGACUCAUAA